UUGUCCAUGACCAGACGAGCACAGUUCGAUUCUCCCACUAGUGAGGUCGUCUCAACACCCAAGCAUACAUCCACUCCAUGCCCAUAAAUUUGACAUUUGAAAUAAGUUUUUGGCAGGGUUUCGUAUUCAACUCAUUAGAGGCGGCCAUUGAUUCGUACCUUUGAUACCAGUGGUUUCCUCAAAUAGACAUAGACCGCUAGCUGUGCAAAUCGUCCCCUAUGAGCAUAGUCCAUGUGAAUGUCCAAUUUCACCACCAAUCCAACUGUCUAACCAAUCUCCUUAAAGAGGUAGUUCGAAUAAUAUCUUUAUGGAAGACCAGUUAGCCUUAUCCAAACGACCUACGAUUCAAUCCCACUUUGGGCUAUUGAGAAAUCCGGUGACC
Molecule: long non-coding RNA, 382 nt
Filed under: Gossypium barbadense (sea-island cotton)
Lineage: Eukaryota; Viridiplantae; Streptophyta; Magnoliopsida; Malvales; Malvaceae
Description: long non-coding RNA (GBAR_LNC017149)
Source: RNAcentral